GUUCAUUCUCAUUUUACCGCAGCUUUAUUAAGAAUAGCUGGUCGGAAUGGACUUUUGGUUUGAGCCAAACACUGAGCCAAAAUCAUCCAUUGCCUACAAAUAUUUCAGUCCUAAUAUUGAGUCUGAAUCAUCAGUUCUGACUGCCUCUUACCCUAGAAUGAGAUUCUGGGAAGUGAAAAAGAUGAGGAACAGAAGACUGUGCUGA
Molecule: long non-coding RNA, 205 nt
Filed under: Macaca mulatta (Rhesus monkey)
Lineage: Eukaryota; Metazoa; Chordata; Mammalia; Primates; Cercopithecidae
Description: lncRNA (ENSMMUG00000055532.1)
Source: RNAcentral